CUCUCUCUCUCUCUCUCUCUUUCUCUCUCUUUAAAAAAUAAAAAAUAAAAAGAAAGAAAAAUCCCGUGCUGCGAUUUUAAAUCGAAACCCUAGUAGUUUUGAGAUCCGAAACCUCAGCGAUCGCUUGGUUCGGCAAAGGACGGGGAGAGAGAGGCCGCCAAUUUGAGUGAGAGAUCGAGGGAGAUGCCUUCUGCGAUGGAGAGUGGGAGACGCGGAGAUCGCGGGAGGAGUACUUUCUGGAAAUCCGUCGGUUUGAAAGCAAUGGAGUGAGUCGGCGCCGAGAACAGACGAAGAGGCUGAGAUUCAUUGAGUCGAAAGCAAUGGACACUGCUUGACCUCUUCUUCAUCGGUUGGAUUCUAUUCGUGAUGGUGCGAGAAAAGAUCGAGUUGUAUGACCGUCCGAUUCAUGAUGUACGGGUUCAUAGAGGGCGGGCGAACCGGGACGGGUAGCCGGUUCCCGGUUUGAUAGACCGAUCCGGCCGGUUUUCCCUGCUUGAUCGGACCGCUCGAAUGGGGGUUUACUUGAGCUUGGUUAGUCGAAACGAAAUUUUCAAUGUCUUCAAGUGACUAAGGAACAAGGAGUAAAGUUUACAAUGCUUCUGAGAUUUUUUCAAGAAUUGUUGAAAUCUGAAAGGCGUGGAACUCGCUUUGUGGAGGGUAGAAACAAUAUUUUAGGAGUUGCUAAGACACAUAGAGCAGCUGGGAUGUUCAAUAGUUUCGGACUUUUUACUGAUUUGCUCAAAUACAUGAAAUCUGCCUGUAAAUUACCAGCAGUCCGAGAGAGACUGCACGAUCUUUGUUGAUCUCGCAAGGGGAGACAGACGACAUGGGUGGUGGGAGGUCGAAGUUCUGGGGAAAGAAAAUUCAUCAAUAUCUUGAAAGUUUUUACAAAUCAAACCAAUGAUUAUUUGUUAUGAUGUCUAAAGAUGGUAUGAUUUUCUAGUUGUAAGUGCACUUUUUAGAAAUUUUGCAUUCCAGACUUGUUAAUUCUGCAGCUUGCAUUUCAGGAAUUUUGCAUGAGAGCAGCCGGAAAUGGCCCCUGGGCCAAUGAGCAGAUAGGCUACAGAGGACAAUGUUUGACUUGAUUGGGGCUUUUUGGGCCUGUAAAUGUCCAAAAUUAGAGGAUGAGAAAGUCCAGUUCUUUAUCGAUACAAUCUACAACCCAAAAGCGUCAACUUCAGACAUCUUUGCACCCCGC
Long non-coding RNA from Diospyros lotus (date-plum), 1198 nucleotides. RefSeq lists it as uncharacterized. The transcript is spliced from 5 exons. NCBI's taxonomy places the organism in Eukaryota, Viridiplantae, Streptophyta, Magnoliopsida, Ericales, Ebenaceae. The record is from RefSeq and is a predicted model, not a curated record.